This 1472-nucleotide unclassified non-coding RNA is filed under the name Hevea brasiliensis (rubber tree). Lineage: Eukaryota; Viridiplantae; Streptophyta; Magnoliopsida; Malpighiales; Euphorbiaceae. The record is from RNAcentral.
UCUCUCUCUCUCUCUCUUUCUCAAUAGAAAAACAUAGAAAAAGAAGAUGAUAAGGCGGUUUAGGCUUGCUUGGCGCAAUGAGUUUUGUCUGGCGUGUGGAAUCUGAGUGUUUUUUCGUAGCAAAAUAAAAUGUAUAGUUUUGUGCCGAGAAUAGAUAGAUUAAAAAAGAUUUUGUGUGAGAGAAUCCAUUUGGAAGAAACAAAUCCAAUGCUACAGAUAGAUAAAGACUGCCUUUGGAGAAGAUACUGUUGCUGUCACUGUCGUUGGACCCACACACCCACGCCUACCGCCCUAGUGGCGAGACUGACAUCACGCUCCUAAACAGAGUAAACGUCCCACUUAAAAAAAUUUCUAAAUCAUCGUACGAAUGGAGAAUUUUUUUUAUAAAAAUGAAAAUAUAUUUAGGAAAAACUACUUUUUCAUAAUUAAUACCUAUCUCUUUAAAAACUCAACAGUAUCAUUCCUGAUUUUUGAAACUGUCAAAAAUGAAGUCCUUUCACUUAAAAGUGUCCUUAGUGAAUUAUGAAAUGAUCAUAUUACCCUUAAUUAAAUUAAAAAUUUCCUAAGAAAAACCUACCACCUCUCUGUACACCUCUCGUUAUUCAAAAAAUGUUCAUUCUGUAACAAUGCUUCUCUUAGGCAUUUCAUCAAACAAGAGAAAGGCAUUGCACAAAUCAACAUGCAUUUCUCAUUUGCUUGUUGAACAAUCAUAAAUUCUCAUUCUUAUCACCUCUCUCUUACAACAAUAACAAUAUAACCCCUCUACUUCUUGCCCUUUUCGAUUUUUCUCUCUAUUUCAGUCUCCCCUCUCUUUUUCUCUUCCAUUGAUGCCUCUAUUCCCCCCUAUUGAUUUCUUUGAUUCUUUCUUUAUUCACUUUUCCCACCCCUUGCUCCUUUCAAGUCCCCUCUUGAUCUCUCCUCUCACCUGUAAUGCUGUUAAGUUAUCUGUAAGACCCUUUGCUGCCUCGACACCAUCACACAGAGCAGAGCACCUCCCCAUGCCAAUUGCCACCAUCGUCUAUCACUUGCAAGUUGCAAUCCCUCAAUGCCUUGCCACCAUCGCAUCUCCCUUCCUCCCUCCCUCCCUCAAAGAAAUUGCAUGUCACCCUCUCUCCACUCAAAUGCCUCCAUAAAAGCUUGGUACGGAAGGGAGGUGAGCUGGGUUUGGUCUCAUGUAAGUUUUGUGGUCGGUGAGAGGAGCAAGAGGUUCUUUGCGAGAGGUGAGUGAAGGGGGGUGGGAGCCGAGAUUAAGGAAUGAGGUAAGGAGCUGAUUGCUGUGGCUUUGGUAGGGAGAAAGACAGUAGAGUUGAUGGGCUAAUGUCAAAGGAGAAGAAAAAUGGGUUUGCGAGGAGGCUUUCUUCAACUGGAUACGAGGAGAGCUCAGAAAGUUUCUUAGCAAAGUGAAGAAGUGAGGGACAGAGGGAGGAUUAAGAACGGAACUUGGAGGGUAUUUAGAUCUUUUUCUAUUUAAU